UACGUAGGUGGCAAGCGUUGUCCGGAUUUACUGGGCGUAAAGAGCGCGCAGGCGGUUGAUUAAGUCGAAUGUGAAAGCCCCCGGCUCAACUGGGGAGGGUCAUUCGAUACUGGUCGACUUGAAGGCAGGAGAGAGAAGUGGAAUUCCCGGUGUAGUGGUGAAAUGCGUAGAUAUCAUGAGGAAUACCAGAGGCGAAGGCGGCUACCUGGACAAUUGCUGACGCUCAGGCACGAAAGCGUGGGGAGCAAAAGGG
RNAcentral lists this ribosomal RNA (253 nucleotides) under uncultured bacterium. Its description in RNAcentral is "partial 16S ribosomal RNA". It matches the Rfam family "Bacterial small subunit ribosomal RNA", at positions 524 to 776 of the family's 1533-position model. The record is from RNAcentral.